This 497-nucleotide ribosomal RNA is filed under the name uncultured bacterium. RNAcentral's name for it is "partial 16S ribosomal RNA". It matches the Rfam family "Bacterial small subunit ribosomal RNA", at positions 28 to 507 of the family's 1533-position model. The record is from RNAcentral.
GAUGAACGCUGGCGGCGUGCCUAAUACAUGCAAGUCGAGCGAACAGACGAGGAGCUUGCUCCUCUGAUGUUAGCGGCGGACGGGUGAGUAACACGUGGAUAACCUACCUAUAAGACUGGGAUAACUUCGGGAAACCGGAGCUAAUACCGGAUAACAUGUUGAACCGCAUGGUUCAACAGUGAAAGACGGUCUUGCUGUCACUUACAGAUGGAUCCGCGCCGCAUUAGCUAGUUGGUAAGGUAACGGCUUACCAAGGCAACGAUGCGUAGCCGACCUGAGAGGGUGAUCGGCCACACUGGAACUGAGACACGGUCCAGACUCCUACGGGAGGCAGCAGUAGGGAAUCUUCCGCAAUGGGCGAAAGCCUGACGGAGCAACGCCGCGUGAGUGAAGAAGGUCUUCGGAUCGUAAAACUCUGUUAUUAGGGAAGAACAAAUGUGUAAGUAACUAUGCACGUCUUGACGGUACCUAAUCAGAAAGCCACGGCUAACUACGUG